GGUCAAUCCCACUGAAAAUACCAGUUCUCGUUCAAUCAACGAAGUUAAGCAGCGCCGAUUCCGACCAGUACUUAGAUGGGAGAUCGCUUGAGAACUCCAGGGACUGUA
Non-coding RNA from Acanthosepion pharaonis, 108 nucleotides. The record is from the annotation of a GenBank genome assembly. NCBI's taxonomy places the organism in Eukaryota, Metazoa, Mollusca, Cephalopoda, Sepiida, Sepiidae.